RNAcentral lists this long non-coding RNA (666 nucleotides) under Salvia miltiorrhiza (redroot sage). RNAcentral's name for it is "long non-coding RNA (SMIL_LNC011345)". Lineage: Eukaryota; Viridiplantae; Streptophyta; Magnoliopsida; Lamiales; Lamiaceae. The record is from RNAcentral.
CCCAAUCGUCUUCUUCCCCUUUCCCCCCACCCCAAACCCUAAAUCCCCCUCCUCUCAUCUGACGCCGCCCCCUGCCACCUCCACACACCGACACCAGCCGUCGCCCCCUCCCCUUCCCCCACCUCAGUGCUGCUGCUGCCUCGAUGGAAUCCGAUUAUGGUUGUUGAAAUCUCGAUAGAAAAAUAAGAGAUGCAAGACUCGAUUUUUACACCGACGACCGUUCACCCUCCCCCUUCCCCCACCUCGGCUCUGCCAGUUCCCCCCAAAACUUCGUCCUCGUCGCCUUCCUCUAAAUCUCCGACUUGACUCGAUUUGUUUCGAAAAAAAGGAAAAAUAAUAUCUUUUUGUGCUGGUAGAAUUAGGGCUUUGUUGGGAUUGAAGAAGGGUUUUCAGAGGGAUGGGGUUUGAGAGAGAGACGAUGGCGAAGCCGCUGCUAUCGCUAGAAUUUCAGAGAGGGGGGAGGUCGGAGGUUGUUGAGGAAGAAUGAGAAGAGUCUGCUGUAGCCGGAAUUUCAGAGAGGGGAGGUCAAUCGAGUUUGGAGUGGGCCGCAGUUGGAGAUGGUGGCUGGAGGUGUGUGGCUGGGAUCGGGCGCUGGUGGUCCUUGGUGUUUCCAUGGUCCUUGGGUUUUCUUCUCCCUCAAAACAACGAUCGGCGAUGUUGUGCGGG